This 253-nucleotide ribosomal RNA is filed under the name uncultured bacterium. RNAcentral's name for it is "partial 16S ribosomal RNA". It matches the Rfam family "Bacterial small subunit ribosomal RNA", at positions 524 to 776 of the family's 1533-position model. The record is from RNAcentral.
GACAGAGGUGCCGAGCGUUAGGCGGAAUCACUGGGCUUAAAGCGUGUGUAGGCGGAUCGUUAAGUACCUUGUGAAAUCCCACGGCUUAACCGUGGAACUGCUGGGUAUACUGGCGAUCUUGAGCCACCUAGGGGCAACCGGAACAAAUGGUGGAGCGGUGAAAUGCGUAGAUAUCAUUUGGAACGCCAAUGGUGAAAACAGGUUGCUGGGGGUGCGCUGACGCUGAGACACGAAAGCCAGGGGAGCGAACGGG